RNAcentral lists this ribosomal RNA (253 nucleotides) under uncultured bacterium. Its description in RNAcentral is "partial 16S ribosomal RNA". It matches the Rfam family "Bacterial small subunit ribosomal RNA", at positions 524 to 776 of the family's 1533-position model. The record is from RNAcentral.
UACGUAGGGGGCAAGCGUUGUCCGGAAUCAUUGGGCGUAAAGCGCGUGUAGGCGGCCCGGUAAGUCCGCUGUGAAAGUCCAGGGCUCAACCCUGGAAUGCCGGUGGAUACUGUCGGGCUCGAGUCCGGAAGAGGAGAGUGGAAUUCCUGGUGUAGCGGUGGAAUGCGCAGAUAUCAGGAGGAACACCAAUGGCGAAGGCAGCUCUCUGGUACGUGACUGACGCUGAGACGCGAAAGCGUGGGGAGCGAACAGG